UACGGGGGGGGCAAGCGUUGUUCGGAAUUACUGGGCGUAAAGGGUUCGUAGGUGGCCAACUAAGCCAGACGUGAAAUCCCUCAGCUUAACUGAGGAACGGCGCUCGAAACUACCUCGCUUGAGGGCGGGAGAGGGAAGUGGAACUCUCGGUGUAGGGGUGAAAUCUGUAGAUAUCGAGAGGAACACCGGUGGCGAAGGCGGCUUCCUGGCCCGUACCUGACGCUGAGGCGCGAAAGCGUGGGGAGCAAACAGG
RNAcentral lists this ribosomal RNA (253 nucleotides) under uncultured bacterium. RNAcentral's name for it is "partial 16S ribosomal RNA". It matches the Rfam family "Bacterial small subunit ribosomal RNA", at positions 524 to 776 of the family's 1533-position model. The record is from RNAcentral.